RNAcentral lists this ribosomal RNA (252 nucleotides) under uncultured bacterium. Its description in RNAcentral is "partial 16S ribosomal RNA". It matches the Rfam family "Bacterial small subunit ribosomal RNA", at positions 524 to 776 of the family's 1533-position model. The record is from RNAcentral.
UACGUAGGGGGCAAGCGUUGUCCGGAAUUAUUGGGCGUAAAGCGCGCGCAGGCGGUCAUUUAAGUCUGGUGUUUAAGCCCGGGGCUCAACCCCGGUUCGCAUCGGAAACUGGAUGACUUGAGUGUAGGAGAGGAAAGUGGAAUUCCACGUGUAGCGGUGAAAUGCGUAGAUAUCUGGAGGAAUACCGGUGGCGAAGGCGGCAUCCUGGACCGAGAUUGACACUGAUGAGCGAAAGCUAGGGGAGCAAACGGG